UUAAAAUGGGUGGUGGGAGCUAUCAUGUUAAUGCUGCUCUUAAAAUGCAAGCGUGCUUGGUUGCCUGAUUACAGUGAGAGAAAAACACUGAUAGUGUGGCAGGGUGUGAUAAUCGAUGCAUGAGCAUUAACAAAUAGCAUGACUCAUAUGAGGUUAACUUAAACUAAACCAUCUAAAUCAUGGGUGCUUGUUUAGAUAUCUCGUGAACUGAAAACAAUACCAAUUUAAAGUUCAUAUCUUGCCUCAUUACAGUGAGAGAAAAACACUGAUAGUGUGGCAGGGUGUGAUAAUAGAUGCAUUAGCAUUAACAAAUAGCAUGACUCAUAUGUGGUUAACUUAAACUAAACCAUCUAAAUCAUGGGUGCUUGUUUAGAUAUCUCGUGAACUGAAAACAAUACCAAUUUAAAGUUCAUAUCUUGCUGAUUGGUGGAGAAUUCCCGAGAAGUUUUUGGUCUCAUAAAGAAGCUGAAUAUUGUCCCUGACACCAAGAAGAGAGCAAAAACAACAUCAUCUUUCUUUGAUACACUGGUCACUGGAGGAAACAACAAUAGCUCUUCGAAGGUCAAGUCAUAUUUAUGUGUUUGACACACAAAAGAAUCCAAGAGCUGACUCUCUUUUGCAUGCUGAGAUCAAUCCAAGGCCAUGACAAUGCCAAGAACAACCACCUAAUGACUUCUCUAUUGCUCAGUUCCGGUUUCUGGAGCGACUACUUAUCGUCCAUGGGCACUGGUGCGAUAAGAGGAUUACCCAAAUGGUAAGAACUACAGAAUCCCUAACACUAGAUGGGCCCCUUCAUGUUAGGCCUAGAUCCCAAAUGCAGCCUGAUCACAGAAACUUCCAGAUGGAAUGUGGGGUCCACCGCGUUGUAAAUAUACUAUCUAGCCCUCUCAUCUGGUGAGAGGGAUAGGAUGAAGGCGCACCCAUGAAAUGCAGGCCAUUCCAGAAUUCAGGUGAACCAUACCAUGUGAAUAUAUAUGUUUUCGGCAAGAUUCUAUA
Molecule: long non-coding RNA, 996 nt
Organism: Magnolia sinica
Lineage: Eukaryota; Viridiplantae; Streptophyta; Magnoliopsida; Magnoliales; Magnoliaceae
Exons: 3
Source: RefSeq, a predicted model, not a curated record